This is a long non-coding RNA of Haemorhous mexicanus (house finch), 11860 nucleotides long. RefSeq lists it as uncharacterized. Lineage: Eukaryota; Metazoa; Chordata; Aves; Passeriformes; Fringillidae. The transcript is spliced from 2 exons. The record is from RefSeq and is a predicted model, not a curated record.
GGUCCCCAUCGCCCAGGUCCCCAUCGCCCGCCCCGGUCCCCAUCGCCCGCCCCGGGCCCCAUCGCCUGCCCGGGUCCCAUCGCCCGCCCGGGUCCCCACUGCCCGGGUCCCCAUCGCCCGCCCCGGCCGGGGCACCGCGACCGCUCCGCUUCCCCGCGUGCCUUGGGUCGGGUGCGGCUCAGGCGUGCCGGGGUAGCGGGCGCGGAGGAACCGCAGCGUGAAAUCUCCGGGGGGAGACUUUUGUAUGUUUUGUUUUUCUUCAAUGUCAGAUAUACAGGGAAGAAUUUUUUGACUGAAGGGGUGGUAAGCACUGGCACAGGUUGUCCAGAGAAGCCGUGGAGCCCCAUCCCUGCCUCGUCCCUCAUCCCAAGGCCAGGUGGGACAGGUUUCUGAGCAGCCUACUCUGGUGGGUGGCAUCCCUGCCGCUGGAAUGGGAGUUGGAACUAGACAGCCUUUAAAUGUCCAUUCCAACCUAAACCAUUCCAUGACUCUACGAACACAUAGAACAUUCUCUGUGGUGGAGGAAUUUCUCAGGGGACAGACACAUCCCUCCAUGGAGGAGGAUUAGCUGGAUGCUGAGGGUGGCCACAGCACAGACAGUGCCCUCACUGUCCAUCUUGCAGCAUCUGAGCACGGUGACAGUCACAGUGUCCAUUGACAGCUGUGGCAAGUGAUGGAAACAGGUCCAGGUUUGUCCAGGGCGUCAGGGGAAAGAGGAGAUGGGGCCAGUCAGGACUGGAAAGGAUACAACCUGCAUCAAAGGUCCUUACAGGAAAUGGGAACUGAGGUGAGACUUCAGCAUUGUUCUAAAGUCUGAGCAGGAGACCAGGGCACCCCCAGGUAUGGCUGAUCAGGGCCUUCAGAGUUUACAAGUUCUGCAAAUCGAGGCUAUUUAUGACUCUUCACAUUGCUGGUUGUCUAUUGAGAAAAACAUUCAAACACCUGAUUUUCAAAGCCUGCAGAAAUCCUGGUGACCAACAGUCACCUUCUGGGGAUGCCCUGAAGGCAGAUGAACCAAGGGAGGGUUUCAGUGCCAUGCCACAAGAAACAGUAAAGAACUAAUAAAAUCCCAUCUAAAAAAAGGGGAGUGGUGGGGGGGAACGUGGUGCCCUUUCUCCAAAGAGGCAUGGAUUACAUCCAAACCCUUCUGAAGCUCACAAGAAGCCUCAUUCUGAUUCCAGGGAGUUUUCAGUCCAGCUAGAAGGCUCUUCUCUCAGACAAAGUGUAGUUUUUCUCCCCACACUUUCUCCAUCUCUAAUGCUGGAAGGGAGCUGGAGAGGAGUAAUGACCCUUGGGAGCCUGGGAAUGAGUCAGGAGAGCUUCCCUCCCAGAGCUGGGGUGGUGGUGGCCGGACUGCUGUUCCCAGGGGGGGAAUAAGAGCGAGUGUGUCGCAUGUGCAGGGAGGAGAUGUUCCUCCACAGCUGGCUGUGCUGCUGUGCAAGUGCUGCAGAGCCCUGUUUUGGGCUUUGCCUUCCCUCGGGGCCCCCAAACCCGGGAACAACGUGCUCUUCCCAGGAGGUCAGCGAAGGGGAGCCUCAUCCCAAAGAGAGAUCAAAAUGCAAACCAAGACACAGCAAAGUUCUUCAAAAGCAAUGGGAUGCCCAUCGCUGCUCUAAAUUCAAAAUAAAUUGGGCAAAUAAUAGGCAAUAACAUGACUGGGUUAACAUCAGGCUUGUGGAUGGUGAAGCGAAUUUUAAUUUUAAAAAUGUGUAGCUCUCUGAUGAAAUACAGGGCAGAUCUUGGUGCAGGACUAAGUGGCCUGGUUGUGUCUGGGCUGGAAGAGGGUUUGAAAUGCCCCAACAGCACCAACCCAUGCCGGGUCCAUCAGCACCGUGAAGGGCAGUGUUCAGAUUGUAUUAGGCAAAAGCAGAAAAAUAAUCAUCUGGAGGACAGGGUGACUCAGGGGAUUGGCAAUAAGAUGGAUCAUGUUACUGCUUUGGAAUGGAUUCCAAUUAGUUGCAUCCGCUUUUAAUUAUUAUUAUUUAUACAGAACCUAAAGGCAGUCCAGAGAUUAUCCAAAAAUGCACAGGCUGAUCUGCAAAUCCCCCGUCCCUCCCCCCCUCAGAGCCCUUGCAAUGACAAACCCCAGUCACGCUGCCUGGACUGGUUCAUACUGGCUGAGAUGUAAAUUACUUGUUAGUGACCAGCUUGCUGCUUCUCCACUUUUGACACUCUUCAAGGGGAAAAUAGGGAACGGGUGACUGAGGCUGGAGUUUCGUGUGAAGUGUUUUUGUUGGAAGCAGCAGCAGCUCAAGAAGUUCCUCCUCGCCUCCCUGCAUUCGGUUCCUUUUUCCCCCUUGUGCCACCCCAUGAGUCAUGCAAAUACACCCAGGUCAGUGAACUGGUAACUUUGAAAAACAAGGAGGGUUUUUUUAAUCAGAGUAGGUGAAACUCACUGCUCAUGUUGACCAAAGACUGCUGGGUCUUUGCUCAGCUGGUGGUAGGAGUCUGAGUAGGCAUCCACUGACCUCGUUUGCCACCAGAAAUUAUCAUCUCUCCAACAGCAAGGUCUCUUGUCUUGUGAGGAAAGCCAGUGCUCCUGCUUAGUCACCUGAGGCUUAUUCAAGCCUAUUCAUGAAAUGGGAGGAAUUGUCUUGCCAAGAGAAGUUAUUUGGGAAAUUUUGAAGAAUAUGCCACAGAACUAUAGAAUCAGAGAAUAGUUUGGGUUGGAAAGGUCCUUAAAAAUCAUCUCCUUCCAACCCCCUGCCAUGGUCAGGAACAGCUUCCACUAGACCAGAUUGCUCAGGACCCUAUCCAGCCAGGCCUGGAACCCUUCUGAGGACGGGGCACCAUCACUUGUUUCACCCUGUAGAAAGCAGAAACAUUCCAGGAAGUGAUUUCUCAUCCCCGACCUGCACUAGAAGACGCCAGGCUAAUGGGGCAGACAUAAUUUCCUUUCAGACUGCCUCAUUCUCUGUACAUGGACCAUUGCUUCCACAUCUCCCAUAGAAACAGAACAUUUCUGUGUUGGUGUUGUUGUUAUGGGAAAGUAGCUGCUGCAUGGGAAAAUUUGUGACUCCAGUUCAUAUAGAAACCACAAUUACAACUUGCAUUAACAUGAAUUGGGAAGUUAAGUCAACAAAGACCAUAGACUUCCCUGGGUGAAGGAAGGGAGAGUCUAGGUGGGCGUUCUCACCCCAUUGACCCUCCCUAUGAUCUCCAGGAAACUGGGAAGGGAAAUGUCUACCAAGAGCAGAUGUUCCCAGCAGGAAUAUAUAGAUAUGCACACACACAUAUAUACAAAAGCACAGCCAUUUCAAGCCAGGUGUGUUAUCACUGAUGGAUUUCCCACCUCAAGAACCCCAUGGGAUUUCAGGACCAGGCACCAGGGAGCCAGGGGUGGCAGAUGGAGAGUGAAGUGUGGCUCUGUUGGGUGGAGGUUUGGUUGCCAUCACACCUGAGUUGAUCUCUCUUCUGGAAAUGGUGAAUGCACAGCUGGAGAGCCUGUUUUCCCAGAGGACUUUAAGAAAGGAGAAGGAGCAUCUGAUGGCCAGGCUAAGUGCAUGACCACCACCUUAGCCCUGUGCCCAGGGCUGUGAGAUAACCAGCAGGUGGGAUGGGGAGCUGAGGCUGCAGGUGGCCCUGCAUCUUCUCCCCGGUGAGAUCAGGGGGUGAGGCUCAUGAGGCUGGCAUCUCACAUCCUUCCCAGGUCAGUGACUUGCUGUGAAGAAGUUUCCUUCCUGACCCCCAAGUCAUGCAAGUGCUGUCAAGCAGGACAACUUUUAUCUGACUGAAAGCCACAGCUGCCUGCACGCCUGGUUUGGUGCAUGUGGAACAAGCCCAGCAGUCACAUCUGCACCUCUUCAAGUUAAAAUAACGGGGUUAUUGUUUUGGGGUUUUAUCCCUUUGGAGUCUUGAUUUGCAGGAGGUUCUUUGGCUCAGCUGCAGACUGAGGUCUGGAUGCAGGAGCCAGAAUGCUCUUAUUAACCUCAGCAGAAGCACUGGGACUCCGGGUACCUCCUCCAGUGCCCUCAUUCACCUCCCUCCCUUCCUCAUCCCUUUCCUUCUCCUUGCUGCAAGUGCUCUGGGGCUGAGGCUUGAAUGGUGUCUAACAGAGCCAAGCCUUGCUCUCAGCUGGGGUAUCUUGAUGGUCAUGAAGCUGAAAUGAAAAAUGAUGAAGCUGAAAUGAAAAAUGAUGAAGAGCAUUUUUAUGGAUGAACCUGAAAGCCUUGCAAUGUCCCUGGGUUUACACUGGAGGAAGUGAAGCAGUGGAUUAAGUGUUUCAGCUGUGAGCAGAGCACUGGCAGCAGAGCUCAGAGCCUCAUGCUAAGCAGAGGAUCACGUGUUGUCUUGCUCCUCUGUGGGCAGCAUGACCUAAGUGGGACAGGGAGGUGACAAGAGACGGAACAGUUUGCAGAGCUUUCAGAGAGCCCUGCAAAGCUUACUAUGAGUUUCCCAAAGCCAGUUGCUUUCCAGGAAGGACUGUGCACUCUUGCAGGUUCAGCAUCAAAUACAGAUAGCAAACAACCCCCCCUGCAAAUCUGUUAUUCAUGUCAGCUGUGGAUGCAAGAUCCCCUCUGUGUCAGAUUACCCAGCACACGUGAUCCUGCCAGCUUUGUGCCUUGUGUCACCUGCAGGGCCAUUGGAGUGGCACGGGCAGCCACUGCCUAAUCCAGCCUACAUCCUCCUGGUACAGAGGAGAACCAGCAAAUAACUCUCACCACCUCUGACCCAACAGGCUUCAUUGCACUCAGCACAGCACACUGCUUUCUCUGCUCAAGGCAGGCUCUGCAGCCUGCCCCAGGAGAAUGUCACUUCCCAAGUGACCAUGCUCAGCAGCCCAGCUGCCCCCAGCAGGGCAGAUCUCAUUGCUGAGUGGUCACAGAUAAUCUUAGUCACAGUUUAAUCAGGUAGUGGUGUUCAUGGGGGGAGGAUGGUCAGGGUGAGGAGGAGCUCACAUGGGGCUCUACUGUGUCUGUACAUCUUAUUUGAUGUAUAUUGGAUACAGAGUUAUCCGGGGCAGUUAAGGGUGACAGCAAAGAGAUGCAAAGAGCUUAAAAUAGUGCCGGACCAGGCGACAACAGCACGCAUUAAACUCAAGUGUCCGUGAAUAGGAGCAAGGGCUGCUUCCGUGUGAGUUAGUGCCUCCCAAAACCGAGACCCAGAGCCUUUCAGCGGCUCCCACGGGUAUCAGGUGACAGCACAGCGAGGAAAGCAAAGCCUCUCCUGCAUCCGUGAAGAUGAUGAGGGGGGGAUGGAGGAGACCCUGGAUGCGGAUGGCUCAGGAGGCAAGUAGCAGGGGGAAAUAUGAGGCUCAAGUCCAAGAUGGCACAGAGAAAACCAUCGGGGAAAUCAGUAACGCGUCAGCCUCAGCGUAGGUAGGUGACGGAGCCUGGGAACACGCCGGGUCUCUGAGUCACCGGGAUUUGUGCAGCCUCAGUCCUGGCAGCGCUGGGUGUUCCCCGCCACGUCGGCUGAGAGUGGCCGGGCAGCCUUUUCUGCGGUGGGAAAUGUGCCUGGAGCAGCCUGGGUGUCCUCAGCUCCGCGGGGAGCAGGGCAAGGUGACUUGGAGGUAGCGAGGUGUUCUCAUCUCUCCUGGGCUCCUGCAUCCAGCACAACUCUUUAAAAGCCCCGCCCAAGCUUGGCAGAUUUAAAUCACUUCAGGCCAUUUAAUCAUCAUGUAAGCAGACCGAGCUUAAGGACUGAUUUAUAGACUUUGCACUGGUUAGAGUAACCCCUGGUUACUCUAACUGGUGUUAGAGUGGGUUGUACAAGGAGCUGGUUAUGCCAUGGUAAGCUUUCAGUGGAGAUGAAGACCCCGGGAGCAAGGCUUCCAGCAGGAGAGCUCCAGCCUUGCAUUACACACCAGUUUAGGAGGAAAGAGGAAUCUGCAGGAAGCUCCCUGCAGUCUGGCACUCUCCUGCCUUCACACAUUUUAACUGCCUGCAAAUCCUCCUCCAGGAAACUGAGAAUUAGCCCCGGUGCUAAAUGACUUUGGAAGAGAGGAUCCUUACUGGGGACUCUUGCUGGAAAAAAAUAACAGGGCUGGAUGUGUAAAGUAGUGAAGAGGUCGCAGGCCAGCUCCUGGGAAGGACACAUCCCUCCCAUCCCACCCGCCUCCAGGUCCUUCCUAUAAACUGGGCAGUUUUUCUCUUCCCUUAGCAGCUUGCCAGACCCUCUCUGUGAUUGUUUUUGCUCUGUUUGCCACCAGUUAAACUCCAGCUGGAUGUGAGGGAGAAGGAGGGAUAAGUCCCAUACCCUGAGCUCAAAUCACUUUGAUCCAUGGUUUAAACACAUCAGCUUGAACCAGCCUAGGAGAUUGCCAACCCACAGGUCUCACUCCUGUCCUUUCUCCUGCAGGUCCAGGCUACCAGCCCAUCCUCCCCUUUAUCUUAGCUCUUGUGCUGGGAACUUGGCCCUGAGUUAGCAGAAACCUGUUCCCUUUUUCCACUUGGUUAUUUUUGGGCCAGAUUAGUAGUUUGGGUGUGUGGAGGCUGCGCAACACCAAAGCUGAUGCAAGGGUGAUAGGGUGGGGGUGAGGGAUGGGUCCAGGCAGCCUGUGGGUGAAAGAUAAUCAGCAUGGGUACAAAUGCUACAGCACAGCUGGUUACAAGGUCACCUCGGGUCAGAGGAGAAGCAGAGAUGCCAUUUGAGGUUACAGUGACAACUGGGGUUAAAGGCCUGAGACUGAGGGAACUGGGCAAGGCUGCUGAGAGGUUCCUGGGACAGCCCCAACAGCAUUUUGGGAAUGAUUACUGUGACAUGGUGAUGGCUGGGAAGCACCUUGGGAGCACUGUGGUUGCACCAGGCCUUGCUUGCAGCUCAUUUCACUCUGAGCCCUGCCCCAUCACUGUGGCUGGCUGGGUGGCACUGGGAUGGUGGGACCCCAGUGCCACAGCUAUGGGAUAAGCCUGGUUAGAGGUAGCAGAGGGCUGGACAUGAAGCUACCACAUUCCUGCUCUUAGCACAGUAUUUUCCGUUUCACCUUUGGAAACCUUCUCUUCAAGUCCUGAAGUGUCUGUGGAGCAAAUUGUCCUUGAAAAUGAGCCAGGACACAGCCCUCAAAGUUCUGGACGCUGCAACUGAGGUAAUUCUGUAAUAAAUGUAACCUUUCUGGCAGCACAAGAGAGCAAUUAAGGAGCCUUUAAUUUUUAAGGGUCCUCAAAAACAUGUCACUAAUUUCUAGCCAGAAACACAGGAAAAUUUAGUCAUACCAGGCUGGAUACGCAAGGAACUCUCCUGCUCUACAAGCCUUCCACGUCUGUCUCUGCCCUCCAUCCCUCACACUCUGCCUCAGCCAUCCUCCCCCUGCUUCCCUCCCCAGCUAUCCUUCCCCAGUUGUGAAAAAAAGAAACUUAACCAAACAGUGCUCCACUGGAGGGAAGGGAGGCAAGGGAAACAGGAAAGCAGAUAAUGUAACAACAAACAGCAACCCCAUCCAAAGUACACAGAGGCGUGUUCAUCUUUCCCUUUCUUUUUGCUUUUCCAUGGCCCCUAGGAAAACCAGCUACUGCCUCCAUCCUGCAGUCUCCCACUGUGCCAGUUCUGGUCUCAAGCUGCAGACUGUGCAUUUCUCCCAGGCAUCAGCUGUUCUUCCAUCCAUCCAUCCAUCCAUCCAUCCAUCCAUCCAUCCAUCCAUCCAUCCAUCCAUCCAUCCAUCCAUCCAACCCCACUAGCCACUACUCAUCAGUGAUGCCCUUAGUAGGAGCCCCAUGUUGUCCUCUCUCAGAAUAAGACUCAGUCAAUAGAGUCAAAACCCAAGGGCAGCCAUUUUUGAUGCACAAUUGCUGAUACUGGUGAUGCUGAGCCCAGGUCUAAAGGUCACGGAGUGAGAGCAGUUUAACCCACAAACUUGUAGACCUUUGGUUUCCAUCACCAGGCUCACCUUGUGCGCGAGCAGGAGUGGAAGAGGACUGACUCAGACUCACAGAAUCAGUGGGGUUGGAAAAGACCUCUGAGAUCAUCGAGCCCAACCCAUGACCAAACACCACCUUGUUAACCAGACCAUAGCACUCAGUGCCAUGUCCCAUCUUUCCUUAACCAUCUCCAGGGACAGUGACUCCACCGCCUCCCAGGGCAAUCCAUUCCAAUGUUUAACAACCCUUUUCAUGAAGAAUUUCCUCCUGAUGUCCAACCUGAACCUCCCCUAGUCCAGCUUGAGGCUCAUCCUCUUGUUAGUUCCCUGGGAGACAAGGCUGACCCACCUUGCUGCAACCUUUGCAGGUAGCUGCAGAGAGCAGGGGUGAGGAUCAGGGGCGUGGGGAGGUGGCUCUGGCUGCCUGGCCUGGUCAGUGGCGCAAUGCCAGGCGAGGACAAGCUGUUCCCUGGCUCCUUAUUGUUACCAGAUGAGUGGGGGAUGUUUACAAUCGCUGGGUUUGGAUAAUCAAGUUCUGAUUGGGACAGAGGAAGGAGAGCUGCCCUCCUCUUCCCUCCUGCACCCCACACCAGGCACUCAGCCCCCUGCCCUCCCGCAGGGCUUUGUUCCUGGGGGUGACGCACGGCAGCCUGGACGUGACUGUGGAUCCCACACCCCCACGAUGCCCUGCUCUGUCUGGGGUUAUUGUGUGAUGCCCAGAACAAUGUGCUGUGGUUAGGGAUGCCUGGGAGAGCGCCGGGAGGCUCCCUGCUCCCCCUCUCCCUGCUAGUGCUGGGGGAGGCAGCUUUUGGCCAUCUGGUAGCUGUGGGUUUGGUGGAGGUCCCCCAGCAGGGGAGGAGAUGCAAUCACCAGUGCUGUUCCUAGAGAGGAAAGCCAGCAUUUGGCACUGCUGAGCCACAGAUGCACUGUGUGUCUUGGGCAUGGGAUGGCCUUGGGCACUGUAGGAUGACAGGAUAGCUCGUGUGGGAAGGGACUGCAGGAGGUCUCCAGCCCAAUCUCUUCAUCCUGCCAGCUCUGGGGUCAGACCAGGUUGCCUGGGGCUUUAGUGAGUUGGGUCUUAGAAACCUCCAAGGCUGGAGGCAGCACAGCCUUUCUGGGCACCCUGUAUCAGUGCUGAACUGCGCUCCUCAUAGUGGGAACAUUUUUUCUCAUAUCCAGUCUGAACUCCCUGACUUCAGCUUAUGUCCAGUGUCUGUUGAGCUCCCCUUGUGCACCUCUGUGUACAGCUUGAUUUCAUCAUCUCCAUAUCCUCCUUGCAGGUACCCCAGAGCUUCUCUUCUCCAGCUCUGCAUGCUCAGCCUCCCCUCCCAGGCUGUGUGAUCCCACAGGGCUGUGUGAGCUCUGAUUGUCUUGAUGGCCUUUCCCAUGUGUGUCCAUCUCUCUCGUGCUGGAGGCUGUUGCAAUAUCCAGUCAUGGUGUCAGCAGGGCUGAGCAGAGGGGAGGAGUUGCCUUCCUCUACCUGCUGGAAAUGCUCUGCCUAAUGCAGCCCGAGGGCCUGUUUGCCUUCUUUGCUGUGAUGAUGCAUUGCUGACUCAAUGCCCUUUCUGCACAGCUGCUCCUCCACCAGUCACCCCCAGCCUGUGUUGUAGCCUAGGGGUUGUUUCUUCCCAAACACUGGACUUGGCAUUUGCCCUGGAUGAAGUCCAUGAAUAUCCUUGCAGUACCAAGUCGAAGAGAGUGAGGAGGCAGCAAAUGUCUUGUGGACUUUCCUGAGCCACAGGGACUUUCACUUUGUAAUGGUUUGGAAAGUCCCUUCUAGCAGACCAUACCCACACCUUAGCGAGGAAAAUCUGCUUAUUUGGGAUGUUGUGAUGGCUGGAAGCUCAGGCAGGAAUAUGGGUCAGUGAUACAACCAGGAAUCAGAGCCACCCAGUGCCGAGGUGGAGACUUGGGGAACACUGGGGACACAGGGCUUUUCACACCAGUAUGUCAUUGCAAAACCCUCAGGAGUUAGGGGCUUCUGUGUCCUCCAGGGGCAUGGUACUGACAGGAGGGAAGGGGAAAUGUGUCCUUCCUGGCUUUGGGAGUCCCUUUGGCUGCCUGGGUGAGAUGUCCCUCUGCACACGUUCUGUUCACACAGCUGUUCUGAGUCGGGCAUUUGCGCAUGGCAGGAGCUGAGCUUUGCAUCAUUUGGACUUCUUCUUGCUGGUUGUUUCCCUUGUGCCCAGGUCCCCCUGGAGCCAACUCUCAGGCAGUUUGGUGUGGGGCAUGUUUGGUCUGGGAUUUGUUAAUCACCUUCCUUUGCCAUGUGUGUCCUUUGGCCAAUGAGUGUGUCAGGAGAUGAGCAUUGCCUUUGGUGGAGAAAAGGCAGAAUAAUGUUCUUCCCUGAUGAAUUCCCAGGGAGAGCAGGAUCCCUACAGGCCCUCAUGAGACCCCAUCUGGAGAGCUGUGUCCAGAUCUGGGGUCCUCAGAACAAGAAAGACAUGGACUUGUUGGAGCAGGUCCAGAGGGGACCACAGAGAAGCUCAAAGGGCUGGAGCCCCUCUCCUUUGCAGACAGACUGGGAGAGUUGAGGUGGAUCAGCCUGGAGAAGAGAAGGCUCUGGGAAGACCUUUGAGAGCUUACCAGUAAUUGAAGAGAGCUUAUAAAAAGUGGGGAGCAGCUUCUUACAUGAGUAGAUACUGAUAGGGCAAAGGGGAAUGUUUGUAAACUAAGACACAAGAGUUUUAGUCUAGAUGGUAGGAAGAAAUUCUUUAUUCCAAGGGUGGUGAGGUACUAUCACAGAUUGUCCAGAGAAGCUUCCCUGGAAGUGUUCAGGGCCAAGUUGGAUGGGGCCUGGAGCAACCUGGUCCAGUGGGUGGCAUCCCUGCCCAUGGCAGAGAGGCUGGAACAAGAUGAUCUUUAGAGGUUCUUCCAACCCAAACCAUUCCAUCAUUCAUGUGAAGUGAGAUGUGCAGGAACACGUCAUUGCUUUUCUGGGGAUGAAGACAAAGACCCCCUUGGCUCCCAUUCUUCUCCAGUUUACCACAGCAGCAGUGCAGGGUCUCACCCUGCCAUAGAAAGGUCCCUUCCCCAGACCAGAGUAUUUAUUCCCAGGACUUCCCCGCCCCAGGGCUGCUCAUUCAUCUCUUGCAGACAGAAUGGAGCCUGUCACAAGAGCAGAUGCAGAGCAGGCAGAGCUCCCCAUGAGACCCUUCACCACCAGAGAUGAUAAACAGAUGGGGAAAUCUGCUGGGAAAUGCAUUGACGUAAGGAGGUGAGAGGCUGGAGCAGUGUCCCCAAGGAGGUGCAAACACGCUGAGAAAGCUGCAUGCAGAGCCCGGUGCACAAUGGCUCUUUGAUUCCCCCAGACGCUGCUAAUGGGCCGUUUCCUCUCCCAGCCCUCCCUGUGGAUCCGAGAUGUCUUGCUGGAUGUCUUGCCCUCCCCUUAUCUGUCUCCCUGACUUCUCUCUGGGAUUUCCUCUGAUCAGGCUGCUGGGUCAUCCCAGGCUAGUGUCCCUCGUAGGAUCCCUCUGUCCUCAGAGCUGCUGUGGCCAGAAGCAUUUCUCUUCAGAGGAUAACUGCAGCAUAUGUGAAGGGAGCGUGGAGAAGCCUCAGCCUUCCCAUCUGGAGGGAGAAUUGGGCUCAGUACCACCCUGCCUGCUGCCAGGAGGAUGGCACAUCCCCACGACGGUAAAAGGAGGGGACAUCCGAGCUGGAAUGCAAAUGACCUCGGAGGCAGCACGCAACGGGAAAAGCCCCUCACCAAACCCAGCAAAUAAACCCCCAAAAAUAACGAGCCAACACAAAAUUGACCGAUCGAAGUGAUGUCGAGACAUGAGCAACAGAAUCCAGUAUCCGCUAAGAUCCUUUUUACCCCUCACCCUAACCUCAAAGAUGUCAGCUGGACAGAGCACCCCGAAUGUCAGGUCGAAAAGAGGGGCAUGAGGUGGUCGUAUGACAAGGAACGAGUUUCCAUCUUUGUCUGUCCUCUAAUAGACAAGGCUGCGCUUUAUUUACGUUUUCCGUGCUCUUUCUGGAGUGGCAGUGUGGGUGUGGAGCAGGACACGUCGGUUCUCCCCACUUGAGCUGAUCACUUUUAAUAAAGGCAUUAAAAAGGAGAAA